AGAAGCUAAUCCUGAAACCUGGAGGAGGAGAGAAGAGGGGACACCAGAGUUGCCCUCAAAUAUACAAGAGAUCCACAGCUGAAUGGACUGUUGGGAGGUGAUGAAGACUAUGGAAAGUGGGACCUGUUGGAGGAACGAGGACACUGAGGGUGUGCCUCUGAGGGGCAUGUUUUGUCUCUAGUGUGUGCACCCUCUCUCCUUCCCCUUCACUCUCAUUCCCUGGACUGCAGAAAAUGAGCAGCUCUGCACCAUGAUACUUCCCACCAGGACAACUGCCUUCCUACCAGCAGAAAAACAAUGGAAUGCCCAUGCACUGAGGCCCCUAAAACUGUGAACCAAGAUAACUCCUCCUUUAAGCUGUGUUUCUUGUGGCCUUUGUCACAGAGAUGGAAAGCUGGCUAAUACCCACCAUCCUCAAAUGGCAGCAGAGGAAACAGAGAAAUCCCUUCAACAUCUUCUUCAGCUAUGAUGAGCCACUGGUUUUAUCUCCACUCCACUCUCUAUGUAUAGAAAGUUUCCCAACUCCAGACCUACUGGCCAAAUGUCCUUGGCUAGUUACCUUUAUGGGCCUCAGUUUUCACAUCUGAACACAGAAGUAACAAUGUCUUAAUGCCUGCUUUGUAGAGAUGUUUUUCACAUUGGAAGAGGUGCACAUAGAGGGAGGAAGUGCUGCCUUUUUCUCUCCUUGUACUUUCCCCUUGGUCAGCUUGUUCUGUACUUCCUAUCCAGAAUGUAUUCCCUGUGCUCUGAAUCCAAUUAGGUUAUUACAACUCUUAGCCUUAUAGGGCGUCCAGUUCCAAUUCUAGUUCUUAAUAAUGUCUCCUAAAGGUCAACAAUAACGUAGGGUUUGUCUCUGUCCCACACGUUGAAGCAAUUGGUUCCAUUUGGUUGGCUGAAUGCUACAGAAAGCAGCCAUAAAUAACCCAAGACAGGUUUCUAAACUCGUAGUAUUUGUCUUCCACAAACCCCAGUCACAGCCUGCUCUACUAACCUUUUCCUAAAUCUACAGCCUCAUCUCCUGUCCUACCUGUCAUUAACCUCCAACUCCACACACCUGUUUUCAAAGUAUCUUUUCAAAAAAUGUGUAUCUCGGGCCAUCAAGAUAGUAAUGUGGGUAAAGGGGCUUGUUGCCAAGCCUGAUGACCUGAGUUCAAUUCCCAAAGCCCACAUGGUGGAAGAACAAAGCCAAUUCCUACAAUUUUGCUACACACACACACACACACACACACACACACACACACACACACAAGCACUGCCAUUAUCAAAUAAAUAAAUACAAAAAGAAUUUGUGUAAUGCUGAUCUCUUUCCUAUGAUUGGGCUCUACAUGUGGUCUUCUUUCUCUCUGGAAUUCAUUUUCUUAACUUCUGGGCAAGCCCAAACCUCUCUCAAAAUAGAGAUCUCCAUUUAAUUGUACUGGUCCUUGGUCACUUAGACUCCAGCAGUUUCCUAAGUUUCCAUGAUUGAAGAAAUUCUAUCUUCCUUGCUCAUCUCCAGACACCAGCAUCUAGCAUCAUACAUGACACCCAGCUGGCGAUUGAUAAAUUGAAUGAAUAAAGACAUGAAACAUACAUGAAAUAAAUAAUGCAUCCUCUC
RNAcentral lists this long non-coding RNA (1594 nucleotides) under Mus musculus (house mouse). RNAcentral's name for it is "RIKEN cDNA 4930449C09 gene". Lineage: Eukaryota; Metazoa; Chordata; Mammalia; Rodentia; Muridae. The record is from RNAcentral.